CAUUGCCUGUUGGUCCACUCCCUCUGGGGCACCUGGCAUUGGCCACUGUCGGUAGACAGGAUGCUGGACUGGAUGGACCUUUGGUCUGACCCGGUACGGCCGUUCUUAUGUUCUUAUUUGAGCCUGCGCCUGCUCCUGAGUCAGUCAACCCCGUUCCCUCUGUGUGCGUCUCUCACAGGAUCGCUUUCCUGGGGUGGGAGUUCCCAAACUUCAGCAGCAGAAGCAAGGACCUGCUGGGCCGCUUCGCCAUGGCCCGACGACACGUGCAAGCCGCCGGGUUCUUGAUCGUGGAUGUUCCCUACUAUGAGUUUCUGGAGCUGAAAUCGGAGUGGCAGAAGGCAGCCUACCUCAAGGACAAAAUGAACAAAGCCAUAGGGGCAGAGAUGGCUAAGUGACCCCUGCACCUGUCGAACGAUGGACUCUAGUGUUUGCAUCCGGCAUGAGAGAGAGAGGAUUGCCUCAGGCGACCGGAGUGCUGCUGCUGUGAACGGGUGUUGUGCUCCCCAGGGGUGGGGAGGAGGAAGGCAGGGGUGGGGGUAGCGUUGUGUAUAUAAAUAUGUAUUGGAAUAAAUUCCCUCUUGUACAGGC
Chrysemys picta bellii (western painted turtle) is the source of this 588-nucleotide non-coding RNA. The record is from RefSeq and is a predicted model, not a curated record. NCBI's taxonomy places the organism in Eukaryota, Metazoa, Chordata, Testudines, Emydidae.